AUUAAUAAUAAAAUAAGUUUUUUAAAUUUCAUUUAUUUUUUUUUACUCCAAGGAAAACUAAUUCCAUUUAAGCGUGUAAUGUUUUUUUUUGCGGCUAGGGAAAAAUAAAAAAAUCAAACGGUGCAGGACGCUUCGUUGCCUGCUCUUUUAAAUUCUGCUAGUGGUUGACAAGUGGAUCAUUGGCUGCUGUGCCUUGUAAUGAUGAACUAUGAAGCUCACUGGAAACCACUGUUUGCCAUUAUUCAUCAACGUUUUCCAUUACAGAUGAUAAACCCACCGACUAAAAGAGCUGAUACUGGCGCAUCUUCACGGAAGUUCUAAAGCAUGGUUAAUUGGGAUCAGUUCCAAAAAGGAUGCCUUAAGACAGUGGCCGCAAUAAGCGCCGCCAUACUACAGUUAAACUACGAACACCACUACUCUUCACCAGCAGCAACACUGCCCAAUGAGCAGCUAUGAAGUGAAGAGCGCUCAACAACAGAAUAAAAUAUCUACAUCUUAAAUUCAAAUCAAUUUUCAAAUUAAAGUAAUAACAUAAAUCGUAAAAUAAUUUAUUUCUAUUGUAGGAUUAGUGUGAAAUGUAUUCCAAGUCGUAUUGU
This is a long non-coding RNA of Armigeres subalbatus, 596 nucleotides long. RefSeq lists it as uncharacterized. The record is from RefSeq and is a predicted model, not a curated record. NCBI's taxonomy places the organism in Eukaryota, Metazoa, Arthropoda, Insecta, Diptera, Culicidae. The transcript has 3 exons.